This 63-nucleotide transfer RNA is filed under the name Ictidomys tridecemlineatus (thirteen-lined ground squirrel). Its description in RNAcentral is "Spermophilus tridecemlineatus (thirteen-lined ground squirrel) tRNA". It matches the Rfam family "tRNA". From Rfam's summary of the family: Transfer RNA (tRNA) molecules are approximately 80 nucleotides in length. Their secondary structure includes four short double-helical elements and three loops (D, anti-codon, and T loops). The record is from Rfam by way of RNAcentral. Lineage: Eukaryota; Metazoa; Chordata; Mammalia; Rodentia; Sciuridae.
GGGGAUGUAGCUCAGUGGUAGAGUGCUUGCCUAGCAUGCACAAGGUGCUGAAUUCCAUUCCCA